UCUGGCAGUUGUUGUUCUCUUUGACAUCUGGUGGGAGGGCAUUCCACAGGGCAGGCACCACUACCGAGAAGGCCCUCUGCCUGGUUCCCUGUAACUUGGCUUAUCGCAGUGAGGGAACCACCAGAAGGCCCUUAGAGCUGGACCUCAGUGUCUGGGCUGAAUGAUGGAGGUGGAGACGCAGAGUGACUGGAGCAGCUUAGUCAGUUGGAAGGGGUGCAAGUAUCACCACCACCACCACCUUCAUCAUCAUAUCGAGGGGGCAGGGGCAGAGAAGGAAAUUUGCACAUUAUCCCCAGGGAGAGCUCAAUGAUGAGAAUGUUCUGAGUCCUCCUAUACUAGGAGCCUGGAACAGUUCCUGUCAUCACGUGCAUCGCAACCAGAUCACUCAUGCACAGAGCUUACCUGUCAGUAUAUCACAAAAAAAUACAAAUAGGUGGACAUUCAACCUUCCAGGAGGCACAGAACUAUCAUCAGAGUAUUUUGCUUCAGUAGUCUGCUCUUGCUGCUCAACUUGAGAUCCAAGUCAAGUUUCAACAAUGAGUUUGCGCUGGCUGUUCAUGGUUGCCCUUCUGUUUUCUGGGAUGCUUCUGUCUUCUCCAGGAAAGGAUUAUAUAAUUAAAGGUAAAGAAGCAUGUAUCAAGGAAGGAGGUCAUUGUGCUGGAGAAUUCUGUCCUUCAGGUCACACGGAAUUAAAGUUAUGCUAUGACAAUGUACCUUGCUGCAUACCCUCUUAAGAGCAAGUCAGGAUGGAAUGGAAAUAA
RNAcentral lists this long non-coding RNA (761 nucleotides) under Podarcis muralis (Common wall lizard). Its description in RNAcentral is "lncRNA (ENSPMRG00000005727.1)". The record is from RNAcentral. Lineage: Eukaryota; Metazoa; Chordata; Lepidosauria; Squamata; Lacertidae.